RNAcentral lists this ribosomal RNA (79 nucleotides) under Bacillus sp. SAJ1. RNAcentral describes it as "partial 23S ribosomal RNA". Lineage: Bacteria; Bacillati; Bacillota; Bacilli; Caryophanales; Bacillaceae. The record is from RNAcentral.
CAGGUUGAUAGGUUCGAGGUGGAAGUGUGGCGACACAUGGAGCUGACGAAUACUAAUCGAUCGAGGACUUAACCAAAUA